GGCCCAAUGGUCUAGUGGUAUGAUUCACGCUUUGGGUUCUAUUAUGAUGAAACAGAAUGUGUGAGGUCUCCGGUUCGAUCCCGGAUUGGGCCC
This is a non-coding RNA of Amylocarpus encephaloides, 93 nucleotides long. The record is from the annotation of a GenBank genome assembly. NCBI's taxonomy places the organism in Eukaryota, Fungi, Ascomycota, Leotiomycetes, Helotiales.